GUUGAUCCCGCCGGAGGUCACUGCUAUCGGGGUUCGAUUAAGCCAUGCGAGUCGAGAGGGUUCAGACCCUCGGCGGACUGCUCAGUAACACGUGGAUAAUCUGCCCUAUGGUGGAGGAUAACCCCGGGAAACUGGGGAUAAUACUCCAUAAGUCAGGAGUACUGGAAUGUCUCCUAACUGAAAGUUGCGGCGCCAUAGGAUGAAUCUGCGGCCGAUUAGGUAGUUGUUGGGGUAACGGCCCAACAAGCCCGUAAUCGGUACGGGUUGUGGGAGCAAGAGCCCGGAGAUGGAAUCUGAGACACGAUUCCAGGCCCUACGGGGCGCAGCAGGCGCGAAAACUUUACAAUGCAGGAAACUGUGAUAAGGGAACCCCGAGUGCCCGUACACGCGGGCUGUCCCGGUGUUUAAAACACAUCGGAAGAAAGGGCCGGGCAAGACCGGUGCCAGCCGCCGCGGUAAUACCGGCGGCUCGAGUGGUGACCACUUUUAUUGGGCUUAAAGCGUUCGUAGCUUGAUUUUUAAGUCUCUUGGGAAAUCUCAUGGCUUAACUGUGAGGCGUCUAAGAGAUACUGGGAAUCUAGGGACCGGGAGAGGUAAGAGGUACUUCAGGGGUAGAAGUGAAAUUCUGUAAUCCUUGAGGGACCACCGAUGGCGAAGGCAUCUUACCAGAACGGCUUCGACAGUGAGGAACGAAAGCUGGGGGAGCGAACGGGAUUAGAUACCCCGGUAGUCCCAGCCGUAAACUAUGCGCGUUAGGUGUGCCUGUAACUACGAGUUACCGGGGUGCCGAAGUGAAAACGUGAAACGUGCCGCCUGGGAAGUACGGUCGCAAGGCUGAAACUUAAAGGAAUUGGCGGGGGAGCACCACAACGGGUGGAGCCUGCGGUUUAAUUGGACUCAACGCCGGGCAGCUCACCGGAUAGGACAGCGGAAUGAUAGCCGGGCUGAAGACCUUGCUUGACCAGCUGAGAGGAGGUGCAUGGCCGUCGUCAGUUCGCACUGUGAAGCAUCCUGUUUAGUCAGGCAACGAGCGAGACCCCCU
This 1042-nucleotide ribosomal RNA is filed under the name uncultured archaeon. RNAcentral describes it as "bacterial SSU rRNA". It matches the Rfam family "Archaeal small subunit ribosomal RNA", at positions 7 to 1056 of the family's 1478-position model. The record is from RNAcentral.